AAAAAAAAAACGCCUUUUCACGUGAUGUCCCUUUAAAAGGAAGAGUAAAGUUCAACACUUAUAUUCAACCGAUACCUGGACUUGCGGAUACGGACAUGGACCUUAUCAGUAGCACCUGCUUUGUUACCGGCUGGAGGUUUAUAAAGGACUCUCCAAGCCCGCCAAAAUACUGCAGCAACUUGAAACACCGGUAGUGACAAAUGCUCAGUGCGAGGCCAGCCUCAGUCCCUAUCCUGUCUCGGACGAUAUGAUUUGUACCGACUCGGAACCGAAGGGGGCUUGUUUUGGUGACAGCGGCGGUCCUCUGCAGUGCUCUGUUAACGGGAGCUGGAUACAGGCGGGAGUUGUUUCAUGGGGAACCGAAACCUGCAGGAACGGAGCCACCGCCUAUAGCAGGACCUCUUACCAUAGGGAUUGGAUCAUCGCUAACAUGUAGACAAUCCAUUAGUACCAUUACCGUGUUACAAAACCUCCACUACAUCGGUUGCCCUUCGUAUUGACACCACGAUGUUUUCAAACAAUCCAAACGACCAAACAAAUCCAUCAGGAACUGUGUACACAAAAUAUAUUUCAUGUUGACAACACUAAUGGUGAUACAGGAAGAAAUAAUAUGAACAUUUUAAGAAGUAACAGUAAUGCCGACAUAAUAUAAGCUAGGUGCCGCCAGACAGCACUAUUACUGGCUGACGUGAACUUCAUUGGUGUUGAUAUAUUAUUUAUGUAGCUCGUUGACAAAUUUUGUAGAGACAUGAUUAUAUUUUAUAUACAUAUCAUAUAUAUAAUAAUAUAUAAACAGUAUGUU
Long non-coding RNA from Mizuhopecten yessoensis (Yesso scallop), 802 nucleotides. RefSeq lists it as uncharacterized. The record is from RefSeq and is a predicted model, not a curated record. The transcript has 3 exons. Lineage: Eukaryota; Metazoa; Mollusca; Bivalvia; Pectinida; Pectinidae.